GGGGCUGAUUAUGGAUUCGACAGAAUAUGUAAAACUUUAGGAGCAUGCCGAGGGGCGGUUUGCCUCGUUAAAAGCCGUAAAAAAAUAGUUGCAAAUGACGAUAGUUUUUCGCCUGCCGCUUUAGCAGCGUAAUUAGUCUAAUAAACUAAAGGCGUCCUUUCUCCUAGCCUAUUCUCUUGAGGACGGGAUCAAGAAAGGUCAUAUUUAUAAAGAGAUCGCACAUCAGCUUUGCUUUUGGUUAAUGUGUUAAAUAAAAUUAAGCUAGUUUUUAGUGGCGUGUUAGUUCGCGACUAUUUAAUGAAAACAAUAACUAUACUAAGCAUGUAGUUCUGAUAGCAGAACAAUUCUGGACGCGGGUUCAACUCCCGCCAGCUCCACCA
Molecule: transfer-messenger RNA, 380 nt
Filed under: Enterobacteriaceae (enterobacteria)
Lineage: Bacteria; Pseudomonadati; Pseudomonadota; Gammaproteobacteria; Enterobacterales
Also listed under: 1 other name
Description: f Enterobacteriaceae X51 Standard tmRNA
Rfam family: transfer-messenger RNA
About the family: Bacterial tmRNA, also known as 10Sa RNA or SsrA, is named for its dual tRNA and mRNA-like properties.
Source: RNAcentral